AAAUGAAUUGACGGGGACCCGCACAAGCAGCGGAGCAUGUGGUUUAAUUCGAAGCAACGCGAAGAACCUUACCUGGACUUGACAUCCUUCUGCCAUAUCCAUAACGGGAUACUUUCCUUCGGGGACAGAAGAGACAGGUGGUGCAUGGUUGUCGUCAGCUCGUGUCGUGAGAUGUUGGGUUAAGUCCCGCAACGAGCGCAACCCUUGUCUUUAGUUGCCAUCAGGUAAAGCUGGGCACUCUAGAGAGACUGCCAAGGUAAACUUGGAGGAAGGUGGGGAUGACGUCAAAUCAUCAUGCCCCUUAUGUUCAGGGCUACACACGUGCUACAAUGGCCGAUACAAAGAGCAGCGAGAGGGUAACCUUAAGCAAAUCUCAUAAAGUCGGUCCCAGUUCGGAUUGUGGGCUGAAACUCGCCCACAUGAAGUCGGAGUUGCUAGUAAUCGCGAAUCAGAAUGUCGCGGUGAAUGCGUUCCCGGGUCUUGUACACACCGCCCGU
This 497-nucleotide ribosomal RNA is filed under the name uncultured bacterium. RNAcentral describes it as "bacterial SSU rRNA". It matches the Rfam family "Bacterial small subunit ribosomal RNA", at positions 903 to 1397 of the family's 1533-position model. The record is from RNAcentral.